UGGGGAAUAUUGCACAAUGGGCGAAAGCCUGAUGCAGCGACGCCGCGUGAGGGAUGACGGCCUUCGGGUUGUAAACCUCUUUCAGCAGGGAAGAAGCGAAAGUGACGGUACCUGCAGAAGAAGCGCCGGCUAACUACGUGCCAGCAGCCGCGGUAAUACGUAGGGCGCAAGCGUUGUCCGGAAUUAUUGGGCGUAAAGAGCUCGUAGGCGGUUAGUCGCGUCUGCUGUGAAAACUCGAGGCUCAACCUCGGGCUUGCAGUGGGUACGGGCUGACUAGAGUGCGGUAGGGGUGACUGGAAUUCCUGGUGUAGCGGUGGAAUGCGCAGAUAUCAGGAGGAACACCGAUGGCGAAGGCAGGUCACUGGGCCGCAACUGACGCUGAGGAGCGAAAGCAUGGGGAGCGAACAGGAUUAGAUAGCCCUGGUAGUCCAUGCCGUAAACGUUGGGCACUAGGUGUGGGGUCCAUUCCACGGAUUCCGUGCCGCAGCAAA
RNAcentral lists this ribosomal RNA (491 nucleotides) under uncultured bacterium. RNAcentral's name for it is "partial 16S ribosomal RNA". It matches the Rfam family "Bacterial small subunit ribosomal RNA", at positions 355 to 855 of the family's 1533-position model. The record is from RNAcentral.